This 723-nucleotide ribosomal RNA is filed under the name uncultured bacterium. RNAcentral describes it as "bacterial SSU rRNA". It matches the Rfam family "Bacterial small subunit ribosomal RNA", at positions 59 to 770 of the family's 1533-position model. The record is from RNAcentral.
CAGUCGAGGGGCAGCAUGGACCCAGCUUUGCUGGGUUUGAUGGCGACCGGCGCACGGGUGAGUAACGCGUAUCCAACCUGCCCUUUACUCCGGGAUAGUCUCCUGAAAGGGAGUUUAAUACCGGAUGUGUUUGUCUUUCCGCAUGGGAGCGACAAAUAAAGAUUAAUUGGUAAAGGAUGGGGAUGCGUCCCAUUAGCUUGUUGGCGGGGUAACGGCCCACCAAGGCGACGAUGGGUAGGGGUUCUGAGAGGAAGGUCCCCCACAUUGGAACUGAGACACGGUCCAAACUCCUACGGGAGGCAGCAGUGAGGAAUAUUGGUCAAUGGGCGGGAGCCUGAACCAGCCAAGUAGCGUGAAGGACGACGGCCCUACGGGUUGUAAACUUCUUUUAUAAGGGAAUAAAGUUCGCCACGUGUGGUGUUUUGUAUGUACCUUAUGAAUAAGCAUCGGCUAAUUCCGUGCCAGCAGCCGCGGUAAUACGGAAGAUGCGAGCGUUAUCCGGAUUUAUUGGGUUUAAAGGGAGCGUAGGCGGGCUUUUAAGUCAGCGGUCAAAUGUCGUGGCUCAACCAUGUCAAGCCGUUGAAACUGUAAGCCUUGAGUCUGCACAGGGCACAUGGAAUUCGUGGUGUAGCGGUGAAAUGCUUAGAUAUCACGAAGAACUCCGAUCGCGAAGGCAUUGUGCCGGGGCAUAACUGACGCUGAGGCUCGAAAGUGCGGGUAUCA